CAGUCGCCGCGGUAAUACGUAGGGUGCAAGCGUUAAUCGGAAUUACUGGGCGUAAAGCGUGCGCAGGCGGUUCGCUAAGACAGAUGUGAAAUCCCCGGGCUUAACCUGGGAACUGCAUUUGUGACUGGCGGGCUAGAGUAUGGCAGAGGGGGGUAGAAUUCCACGUGUAGCAGUGAAAUGCGUAGAGAUGUGGAGGAAUACCGAUGGCGAAGGCAGCCCCCUGGGCCAAUACUGACGCUCAUGCACGAAAGCGUGGGGAGCAAACAGGAUUAGAUACCCGGGUAGUCCCUGUCUCUUAUAA
Molecule: ribosomal RNA, 301 nt
Filed under: uncultured bacterium
Lineage: Bacteria
Description: partial 16S ribosomal RNA
Rfam family: Bacterial small subunit ribosomal RNA
Source: RNAcentral